CUUACUACGCAAGCAGGGUCUUUGAAUUGAAACUGACUUUGCUCUUAGGUUCCAAAAAUGAAAAGAUGGAUACAGGUAUUGUAAGCAAAGUAAACGAAAGACCUACUUAUCUAUCAGCAUAU
Molecule: small nucleolar RNA, 122 nt
Filed under: Sorex araneus (European shrew)
Lineage: Eukaryota; Metazoa; Chordata; Mammalia; Eulipotyphla; Soricidae
Description: Small Cajal body specific RNA 15 (ENSSARG00000019830.1)
Source: RNAcentral